UGCCAGCCGCCGCGGUAAUACGGAGGGUGCAAGCGUUAUCCGGAAUCAUUGGGUUUAAAGGGUCCGCAGGCGGACGUGUAAGUCAGUGGUGAAAUCCUGCAGCUUAACUGCAGAACUGCCAUUGAUACUGUACGUCUUGAAUUCGGUCGAAGUGGGCGGAAUGUGUAGUGUAGCGGUGAAAUGCAUAGAUAUUACACAGAACACCGAUAGCGAAGGCAGCUCACUAGGCCUGGAUUGACGCUCAGGGACGAAAGCGUGGGGACCCUUUAAACCCAAUAA
Molecule: ribosomal RNA, 279 nt
Filed under: uncultured bacterium
Lineage: Bacteria
Description: partial 16S ribosomal RNA
Rfam family: Bacterial small subunit ribosomal RNA
Source: RNAcentral